UUGGACGUGGUGUACGGCGCACGCCCGCAUGCUCUGAAGAUGUAUAAAUUUUGCGACGGGAAGCCUGGGUUCGACUCCCGGCGUCCGAA
Non-coding RNA from Mycena epipterygia, 89 nucleotides. Lineage: Eukaryota; Fungi; Basidiomycota; Agaricomycetes; Agaricales; Mycenaceae. The record is from the annotation of a GenBank genome assembly.